CGGGUGAGUAAUGUCUGGGAAACUGCCUGAUGGAGGGGGGUAACUACUGGAAACGGUAGCUAAUACCGCAUAACGUCGCAAGACCAAAGAGGGGGACCUUCGGGCCUCUUGCCAUCGGAUGUGCCCAGAUGGGAUUAGCUAGUAGGUGGGGUAACGGCUCACCUAGGCGACGAUCCCUAGCUGGUCUGAGAGGAUGACCAGCCACACUGGAACUGAGACACGGUCCAG
This 228-nucleotide ribosomal RNA is filed under the name uncultured bacterium. RNAcentral describes it as "partial 16S ribosomal RNA". It matches the Rfam family "Bacterial small subunit ribosomal RNA", at positions 103 to 334 of the family's 1533-position model. The record is from RNAcentral.